GUGGGGAAUAUUGGACAAUGGGGGGAACCCUGAUCCAGCCAUGCCGCGUGUGUGAAGAAGGCCUUUUGGUUGUAAAGCACUUUAAGUGGGGAGGAGGCUUACCUAGUUAAUACCUGGGCUAAGUGGACGUUACCCACAGAAUAAGCACCGGCUAACUCUGUGCCAGCAGCCGCGGUAAUACAGAGGGUGCGAGCGUUAAUCGGAUUUACUGGGCGUAAAGCGCGCGUAGGUGGUUAAUUAAGUCAAAUGUGAAAUCCCCGAGCUUAACUUGGGAAUUGCAUUCGAUACUGGUUGGCUAGAGUAUGGGAGAGGAUGGUAGAAUUCCAGGUGUAGCGGUGAAAUGCGUAGAGAUCUGGAGGAAUACCGAUGGCGAAGGCAGCCAUCUGGCCUAAUACUGACACUGAGGUGCGAAAGCAUGGGGAGCAAACAGGAUUAGAUACCCUAGUAGUCC
RNAcentral lists this ribosomal RNA (451 nucleotides) under uncultured bacterium. RNAcentral's name for it is "partial 16S ribosomal RNA". It matches the Rfam family "Bacterial small subunit ribosomal RNA", at positions 354 to 796 of the family's 1533-position model. The record is from RNAcentral.